This 468-nucleotide ribosomal RNA is filed under the name uncultured bacterium. RNAcentral's name for it is "partial 16S ribosomal RNA". It matches the Rfam family "Bacterial small subunit ribosomal RNA", at positions 28 to 506 of the family's 1533-position model. The record is from RNAcentral.
GACGAACGCUGGCGGCGUGCUUAACACAUGCAAGUCGAACGGUGAAGCGAGUGCUUGCACUCGUGGAUCAGUGGCGAACGGGUGAGUAACACGUGAGUAACCUGCCCAUCACUCUGGGAUAAGCACUGGAAACGGUGUCUAAUACUGGAUACGACCAACCCUUGCAUGGGGUGUUGGUGGAAAGAUUUAUCGGUGAUGGAUGGACUCGCGGCCUAUCAGCUUGUUGGCGGGGUAAUGGCCCACCAAGGCGACGACGGGUAGCCGGCCUGAGAGGGUGACCGGCCACACUGGGACUGAGACACGGCCCAGACUCCUACGGGAGGCAGCAGUGGGGAAUAUUGCACAACGGGCGAAAGCCUGAUGCAGCGACGCCGCGUGAGGGAUGACGGCCUUCGGGUUGGAAACCUCUUUCAGCAGGGAAGAAGCGAAAGUGACGGUACCUGCAGAAGAAGCACCGGCUAACUACGU